RNAcentral lists this transfer RNA (72 nucleotides) under Candidatus Curtissbacteria bacterium. RNAcentral describes it as "tRNA-Met". It matches the Rfam family "tRNA". From Rfam's summary of the family: Transfer RNA (tRNA) molecules are approximately 80 nucleotides in length. Lineage: Bacteria; Candidatus Curtissiibacteriota. The record is from RNAcentral.
AGCGGUGUGGUGUACCGGGAACACGCCAGGCUCAUAAUCUGGAGAUACGUAGUUCGACUCUACGCGCCGCAA